Molecule: long non-coding RNA, 465 nt
Organism: Pecten maximus
Lineage: Eukaryota; Metazoa; Mollusca; Bivalvia; Pectinida; Pectinidae
Exons: 2
Source: RefSeq, a predicted model, not a curated record
UCAGAUGUUGACGACUCGACCACGGACACGUCAAAAGUCGGCCAAGUACCUCCAGUCAUCUUUGAACCAUAACGGGAAUGCAACUUGUGUGGAAACUGUUUUCCGAACAUGGAAAGAAUGGCGGGUAAUGUACCUUCUACGACUCCUAGGAGAACUGAACUCUGCAGUUGGUAGUUCCAGUCGAGUGCCUCCUCCGCCGCCUCCACCGAUCGCCGCGCCGCCUCGCGGGCAUACUCAUACUGCCCCAGGACCAGGAAACAGUUGCCAAUCUCGUGGUACAGCCAUGCAGACUCGACUCGGGUAGUACACAACUGUAUCUUCCGGGAAAAUCUUUGGACGGAAAACGUACAUAAUGUUUGUACAAUACCAUGCGUUUAACUGCAGAGGUUUUAUAAUUAUAGCUCUAAGCAUUAGAAUGUAAAGUAGUUUUCAUAGGAUACUGGGAACCGUUUUCUCACAUGAAAU